UGGUGUCAUGUGCCAUGUAGCUCCUGAAUCCAUAAGCCAGACAUUAGAAAAUUUAUUUCUGCCUUCAACAAUUGUUGUUGCCUCGCUGUACAAAAUUUCACCAUCAUCUGAGGUGCUUGCUACACAACCCUGAGCUUUUGACAUCUCAGGACCUUUUUCUUUGGCUUCUUCAUUCUUCUUAAAGCUCCAACAAUCCCUUUUUAAAUGCCCUUUCUUGCCACAGUAAUGACACUUGACAUUUUUAUUACUCUUGAAUUUUGAUCUACUCUGAUUAUGACUCCCACUGGAGCCACGUUCCGUUGAUCUCCCUCUCAUCAUCAUUAAAGCUUCCACCUGAUGCAAACUUGUCGAUCUAUCCUCCUCAUUUUUUUUGCCGACUUUCUUCUUCAAGAACAGCAGCUACAAUAAGACUAGAGUUUCAAGGUUGUUGGUUAAGUUGAUGAUGAGUAGAUCAUACGAAUCUGGCAGACUUUGAAGUAAGAUUUCAGCACGUUCACCCGCCUCUAUAUUAUGCUCCAUUGAUGUGAGCUGUGAAAAAAAAGUGUUGAGGGUGUUGAUGUGGUCGGUUACCGUAGUUGACUCCAUCAUCCGAAGGGUGUAAAGCUUCCUCUUCAAGAAGAUUUUGUUGUGUAACGAUUUGGCCUCGUACUGUUUUGUCAGCAUAUCCCAUAUUUCUUUCGCCGUCUUUUUCUCUACCACACUUGACAAUACUCCAUCGGCUAGUGCAAGGUGCAGAUUAGCAACUGCAUUGCUAUCCAUCUCGUUCCACUUAGUAUCAUCAAUGAUCUUCACAGGCCUUUGUCCAAUUGCCGCCAAGCAGUUAUCUUUCCGCAAAACUGCUUUUAUUCUCAUUUUCCAUAAUGAGAAAUUAUUCCCAUUGAACUUUUCAAUCUCAUACUUUGUCGCCAUUUUGUUCACCAAUAAUAUAACUAAACAACGACCCUACACAGAACCUUGCUCUGAUACCACU
Molecule: long non-coding RNA, 970 nt
Filed under: Olea europaea subsp. europaea
Lineage: Eukaryota; Viridiplantae; Streptophyta; Magnoliopsida; Lamiales; Oleaceae
Source: RNAcentral